UAAUACAGAGGUGGCAAGCGUUGUUCGGAAUUACUGGGCGUAAAGGGCGCGUAGGCGGCCUUCUUAGUCAGACGUGAAAUCCCCCGGCUUAACCUGGGAACUGCGUCUGAUACUGGAAGGCUGGAGUUCGGGAGGGGGAUGUGGAAUUCCAGGUGUAGCGGUGAAAUGCGUAGAUAUCUGGAGGAACACCGGUGGCGAAGGCGGCAUCCUGGACCGAAACUGACGCUGAGGCGCGAAAGCCAGGGGAGCAAACGG
This 255-nucleotide ribosomal RNA is filed under the name uncultured prokaryote. RNAcentral describes it as "partial 16S ribosomal RNA". It matches the Rfam family "Bacterial small subunit ribosomal RNA", at positions 521 to 775 of the family's 1533-position model. The record is from RNAcentral.